GACGAACGCUGGCGGCGUGCUUAACACAUGCAAGUCGAACGGACAGGCCCUGCUUUUGUGGGUUGCUCGAGUGGCGAACGGGUGAGUAACACGUGAGUAACCUGCCCUUGACUUUGGGAUAACUUCAGGAAACUGGGGCUAAUACCGGAUAGGAGCUCCUGCUGCAUGGUGGGGGUUGGAAAGUUUCGGCGGUUGGGGAUGGACUCGCGGCUUAUCAGCUUGUUGGUGGGGUAGUGGCUUACCAAGGCUUUGACGGGUAGCCGGCCUGAGAGGGUGACCGGCCACAUUGGGACUGGGAUACGGCCCAGACUCCUACGGGAGGCAGCAGUGGGGAAUAUUGCACAAUGGGCGGAAGCCUGAUGCAGCAACGCCGCGUGCGGGAUGACGGCCUUCGGGUUGUAAACCGCUUUCGCCUGUGACGAAGCGUGAGUGACGGUAAUGGGUAAAGAAGCACCGGCUAACUACGU
This 467-nucleotide ribosomal RNA is filed under the name uncultured bacterium. RNAcentral's name for it is "partial 16S ribosomal RNA". It matches the Rfam family "Bacterial small subunit ribosomal RNA", at positions 28 to 506 of the family's 1533-position model. The record is from RNAcentral.